AGCUUUGUGCAGUGGCAGUAUCGUAGCCAAUGAGGUUUAUCCGAGGCGCGAUUAUUGCUAAUUGAAAACUCAAAGUACCUGAUCAGAAAAUCAUUGUGUUAGAGAAGAUCUGAACAUGGAACGUAUUACUUUUGACCUGACGUCUUCAUG
RNAcentral lists this small nuclear RNA (150 nucleotides) under Panthera leo (lion). Its description in RNAcentral is "U4 spliceosomal RNA (ENSPLOG00000012874.1)". The stretch from base 1 to 128 matches the Rfam family "U4 spliceosomal RNA". From Rfam's summary of the family: U4 small nuclear RNA (U4 snRNA) is a component of the major U2-dependent spliceosome. Lineage: Eukaryota; Metazoa; Chordata; Mammalia; Carnivora; Felidae. The record is from RNAcentral.